CAUAUACUGAAUACAUAGGUAUAUGAGGGGAACCGCCUGAACUGAAACAUCUAAGUAGGGCGAGGAAAAGAAAUCAACCGAGAUUCCGCGAGUAGUGGCGAGCGAAAGCGGAAGAGGCCAAACCGAAUGUAGAAAUAUGUUCGGGGUAAGGACAGCAUAAUGCAUUGUGGAAACCUAGUCGAAUGAGAUGGGAAGCUCAACAAAACAGUGUGAGAGUCACGUAGACGAAAGGACGAAGCAGCAGGCUGUAUCCGGAGUACCGCGGGACACGAGGAAUCCCGUGGGAAGAUGGGGGGACCAUCCUCCAAGCCUAAAUACUACUUGGUGACCGAUAGCGAAAAGUACUGUGAAGGAAAGGUGAAAAGAACCCCGGGAGGGGAGUGAAAUAGAACCUGAAACCUUGUGCUUACAAGCACCGAGAGCUCAUUAACGAGUGAUCGGGUACCUUUUGUAGAAUGGUCCGGCGAGUGAAUGUAACUAGCAAGGUUAAGCACUUAAGGUGCGAAGCCGUAGCGAGAGCAAGUCUGAAAAGGGCGUAAUAAAGUUAGUUGUAUUCGACCCGAAACCGGGUGACCUAGCCAUGUCCAGGUUGAAGUGGAGGUAAAACUCCAUGGAGGACCGAACCGACUCCCGUUGAAAUGGUAGCGGAUGAGGUGUGGCUAGCGGAGAAAUUCCAAUCGAACCCGGAGAUAGCUGGUUCUCUCCGAAAUAGCUUUAGGGCUAGCCUCGGAAAAGAUUACUGGAGGUAAAGCACUGAAUUGGAUAGGGGCCGAGAGGUUACCGAACCUUAUCAAACUAAGAAUGCCAGAUAAUCGAUUUCCGGGAGUCAGACAGUGGGAGAUAAGUUUCAUUGUCAAAAGGGAAACAGCCCAGACCCACAGCUAAGGUCCCCAAGUAUAGUUAAGUGGAAAAGGAUGUGGAGUUGCAUAGACAACCAGGAUGUUGGCUUAGAAGCAGCCACUCAUUAAAAGAGUGCGUAAUAGCUCACUGGUCGAGUGACUCUGCGCCGAAAAUUUAACGGGGCUAAACUAUACACCGAAGCUUGGGAUGUACCGCAAGGUAUAUGGUAGGAGAGCGUUCUGUAAGGGGCGAAGUCGUAGCGAAAGCAGCGGUGGACUUUACAGAAGUGAGAAUGCCGGAAUGAGUAGCGAGAAAUAUGUGAGAAUCAUAUUGGCCGAAAGUCUAAGGUUUUUGGAGGAAGGUUCGUCCGCUCCAAGUAAGUCGGGAGCUAAGGUGAGGCCGAAAGGCGUAGCCGAUGCACAUACGGUAGAUAUUCCGUAACCGUCGAAGAAUUAAAGCACAGGGACAUCUGAGGAAGACAUAACCCGGGCGUUGGUAGACCCGGGCGUAAGGGACCGAAAAUAAGUAGGGAAGUAUGUUGGAAUUAGGGCGAGAAAAGCUGUGUGUAAAUUCAAGAUGCCCGUACCGCAAACCGACACAGGUAGAUAGGAAGAGAAUUCUAAGGCCAACGGGAGAAGGGUAGUUAAGGAACUCGGCAAAUUGACCCCGUAACUUAGGGAAAAGGGGUGCUCACGAAGGUGAGCCGCAGAGAAUAGGCCCAGGCGACUGUUUAGCAAAAACACAGGUCUCUGCCAAAUCGAAAGAUGAAGUAUAGGGGCUGACACCUGCCCGGUGCUGGAAGGUUAAGAGGAAGUGUGCAAGCACUGAAUUGAAGCCCCAGUAAACGGCGGCCGUAACUAUAACGGUCCUAAGGUAGCGAAAUUCCUUGUCGGGUAAGUUCCGACCCGCACGAAUGGUGUAACGAUCUGGGCACUGUCUCAACUACCCGCCCGGCGAAAUUGUAGUACCGGUGAAGAUGCCGGUUACCCGCGACAAGACG
Molecule: ribosomal RNA, 1840 nt
Filed under: human gut metagenome
Description: bacterial LSU rRNA
Rfam family: Bacterial large subunit ribosomal RNA
Source: RNAcentral